AUGGCCACCUUACUGUCCACGGUGCGGGAGAUCCGUCGUUCGCAGCGUGCGGAGGGGGCGGCGGCCGUCCUCGCCAUCGGCACAGCUAACCCGGCCAACUGCGUGUCCCAGGAGGAGUAACCGGAUUACUAUUUCCGGGUCACCAAGAGCCAGCACCUCACCGACCUCAAGCAAAAAUUCAAGGCCAUGUGCCAGAUGACACCAACGGACAAGCGUUACUUCCACCACACGGAGGAGCUCCUGGACGCCCACCCCGACUUCCUCUGCCGUGGAAAGCCGUCCCUGGACGCCCGCCUAGCCAUCGCGGCUGUCGCUGCGCCAGAGCUUGCGGCGUCAGCUGCAGCCAAAGCCAUAGCCGAGUGGGGUCGUCCGGCCACCGACAUCACCCACCUCGUCGUCAGCACCAACUCAGGCGUGCACUCCCCUGGCGUCGACCUCCGCCUGGCCUGUCUGCUCGGCAUCCGCGCCUCCGUACGACGGACCAUGCUCUACCUCAACGGCUGCUCCGCAGGUGCCGCCUCGCUGCGCCUUGCCAAGGACCUGGCAGAGAACAACUGUGGUGCGCGUGUGCUGGUGGUCUGCGUCGAGCUCACCAUCGUCUCCUUCCGUGGCCCAGAGGAGGCAGAUGCCCACCCACACACUCUCAUCAGCCAGGCGUUCUUCGGAGACGGUGCUGGCGCGGUCAUCAUCGGCGCCGACGCCAUGCACCCCGUCGAGCGCCCAAUCUUCAAGAUGGUGUCCGCCUCGCAGACCAUGAUAGCGGGGACCGACCGUGUGCUCACCAUGCAGCUGACAGAGGCCGGCCUCGAUGGCCACAUCUUCACGAAGGAGCUGGUUCCUAUAGCGGCGAAACACAUCGACCAGUGUCUCACAGAUGCGUUCCAACCGCUUGGAGUA
RNAcentral lists this ribosomal RNA (897 nucleotides) under Triticum aestivum (bread wheat). Its description in RNAcentral is "partial small subunit ribosomal RNA". The record is from RNAcentral. Lineage: Eukaryota; Viridiplantae; Streptophyta; Magnoliopsida; Poales; Poaceae.